RNAcentral lists this long non-coding RNA (1883 nucleotides) under Homo sapiens (human). RNAcentral's name for it is "non-protein coding lnc-ZNF726-3:4". Lineage: Eukaryota; Metazoa; Chordata; Mammalia; Primates; Hominidae. The record is from RNAcentral.
UUACUGCUGUGGGGACAAGGGUAUGCUUAUGUUUUUACAGCAGAUGGAUAAACCAUGUGGGUGCCCUCAAGGUGCGUGCAACCAUGGAAUGGAAGACUGGAGGAACCCAUGGUGGCCAACCAUGGGCCCGGUCCCUCUGGUAUGGGCCAUGAGCCAGCUGAGCCUGAGUGCAAAAAUGGACAGAAGGCCAACUGGAGUCAUGGUGACAUCAACCCCUAUAACCUGGGGGACACUCAAGAAAACCAUGCAGGAAGCUGAGAAACUACUGGAGCGUCAAGGCCAGAAAAAACCCCUGAUUCCAUGUUCUUGGCCAUGUUAGCUAUAAUGCCCUGUGUGGUAGGUUUUCCCUUGCAGAGUCAAAAACAUAUUGGGCAUAGGUUCCCAAUCCUCCAGCAGUACAACCUGUACUUUGGAGUGACACUCCUCCUGAGAUCUAUCGUGAUCAGGGAGCAUGGGCUCCAGGACCCCUAUGUCUGGCUCCCCCGGACAUAGAACAGUUAGACUCUCAGAACAAUGUCGUCAAUUAUACUACCCCACUGGAAGGACUCCCCUUGUGUAUCACUACAAAGAUGUCGCUCAACCAUAGCUGUCUUACAACUGAAGCUCAAGCAUGGUUGAGUCACCUUGGAAAAGUUAUGUACUUAAUAGUUCUUGGUUCUAUUUAUGUAACUGGUGUGCUAACCAACCAUGCCCGGCCCAAUUGCCCCAACUGUGCUGACUAUAUGGAAUGGAUUCCCUUCAAUAGUUCUGACCUCUCUCCAUUGACCCAGUGUCUUGGCCCACUGGGUAGAAAAGAAUCUGUGUUAACUGGAGACAUUGUGGAUUGGGGAACUAAAGGUCAACUAGAUGGAAAAGAGGAAAAUCAGAAAUCAUGACACAAACUUCACUGCCAUUGGUGGCAAGCUUUGAAUACUCCUUCUUUAUACCACACCGGGAUCCAAUCCCAGUCUGCCACCUGGAUUGCUUGGCAUGGAGCAGGCUUUAGCACACCUCUUCCUCAGUGGCAUUAUCUAGGGAGGAAAGGUCCAAUUCAAGAAACAAUAUGGAAAGCAGCACUGCUGUUCACAAACGGUAGUAUCCGGGUAGGAACACUCUCUAAUACCAGUACUGCUACUCAACACAGUCUUAAUGUCACAUUUGUAAAGAAUAUCACCACUCAACUUAUGGUUUGUGGUUUUAAUCCUUAUGUCUUUUUGGCAGCUAAGGCGGACCAGCUCCAGCCUGUAAAAUCAGAUGGAUUGCCAAUCAGAAAAUAAAGCUGCCCAACCUGGCCUUACAUUCAUUCAAUUAAUGCAAAAACAGAAAGGGAGAGAUGUUGGGAUCCAGAAGCCUGAGGAUUGUGACCAACACAGCAUUCCACUGGAAGCUAUAUGAUCAAAGAGCAAACUGUUUAUCAUGAAUGCAGAAUGUGGGCAAACUCACAUCUGCACCUGACACUGGAAGGUAUGCUAAGGGGAGCCACUCCCUGGUGCUGUGCUCCUUGAGAUUAUCUACUGGGACAUCUGGAGCCUACUGUUUAAAGAAUGCUGUCAUGCAGGCCUACACUAAGUCAAGCAGCUGACUGACAAUCAGCCCCUUCUCCCUAUCUCCUUUACUCAAUAAAUAUAAAGGGCUCUAGAACUCAGGGCCCUUGUUCACUAGAAGCAAGGAGCCCCCUGACCCCUUCUUCCAAAUAAACUUUUUUGUCUUUGUCUUUAUUCCCACAUUCAUCUUCCUUUAUUCAGGCCACCAGUGUACAUGGCAAAGUAAUCAAAAUACAGUAGUCAGUGAGCACCAACCAUGCAAUUGUGCUAGGUAAGGAGAUGGAAAAAAUAUUUUUGAGGUGGGAGAAACAUCCUAACAGAUAAAUUACAGCAGACAGACUUGACAGAUGGGGGUAACAG